GCCCUUGAUAGCUCAGUUGGUAGAGCAUGAGACUAUUAAUCUCAGGGCCGUGGGUUCGAGCGCCUCAUUGGGCA
Molecule: non-coding RNA, 74 nt
Organism: Podarcis lilfordi (Lilford's wall lizard)
Lineage: Eukaryota; Metazoa; Chordata; Lepidosauria; Squamata; Lacertidae
Source: the annotation of a GenBank genome assembly